GUCGAACGCUUCUUUCCUCCCGAGUGCUUGCACUCAAUUGGAAAGAGGAGUGGCGGACGGGUGAGUAACACGUGGGUAACCUACCCAUCAGAGGGGGAUAACACUUGGAAACAGGUGCUAAUACCGCAUAACAGUUUAUGCCGCAUGGCAUAAGAGUGAAAGGCGCUUUCGGGUGUCGCUGAUGGAUGGACCCGCGGUGCAUUAGCUAGUUGGUGAGGUAACGGCUCACCAAGGCCACGAUGCAUAGCCGACCUGAGAGGGUGAUCGGCCACACUGGGACUGAGACACGGCCCAGACUCCUACGGGAGGCAGCAGUAGGGAAUCUUCGGCAAUGGACGAAAGUCUGACCGAGCAACGCCGCGUGAGUGAAGAAGGUUUUCGGAUCGUAAAACUCUGUUGUUAGAGAAGAACAAGGACGUUAGUAACUGAACGUCCCCUGACGGUAUCUAACCAGAAAGCCACGGCUAACUACGUGCCAGCAGCCGCGGUAAUACGUAGGUGGCAAGCGUUGUCCGGAUUUAUUGGGCGUAAAGCGAGCGCAGGCGGUUUCUUAAGUCUGAUGUGAAAGCCCCCGGCUCAACCGGGGAGGGUCAUUGGAAACUGGGAGACUUGAGUGCAGAAGAGGAGAGUGGAAUUCCAUGUGUAGCGGUGAAAUGCGUAGAUAUAUGGAGGAACACCAGUGGCGAAGGCGGCUCUCUGGUCUGUAACUGACGCUGAGGCUCGAAAGCGUGGGGAGCAAACAGGAUUAGAUACCCUGGUAGUCCACGCCGUAAACGAUGAGUGCUAAGUGUUGGAGGGUUUCCGCCCUUCAGUGCUGCAGCAAACGCAUUAAGCACUCCGCCUGGGGAAUACGACCGCAAGGUUGAAACUCAAAGGAAUUGACGGGGGCCCGCACAAGCGGUGGAGCAU
RNAcentral lists this ribosomal RNA (909 nucleotides) under Enterococcus faecalis. RNAcentral describes it as "bacterial SSU rRNA". It matches the Rfam family "Bacterial small subunit ribosomal RNA", at positions 61 to 940 of the family's 1533-position model. Lineage: Bacteria; Bacillati; Bacillota; Bacilli; Lactobacillales; Enterococcaceae. The record is from RNAcentral.